This 372-nucleotide ribosomal RNA is filed under the name uncultured bacterium. RNAcentral's name for it is "bacterial SSU rRNA". It matches the Rfam family "Bacterial small subunit ribosomal RNA", at positions 527 to 896 of the family's 1533-position model. The record is from RNAcentral.
GUAGGGUGCGAGCGUUGUCCGGAAUUAUUGGGCGUAAAGGGCUCGUAGGCGGUCUGUCGCGUCGGGAGUGGAAACUCAGGGCUCAACCCUGUUCGUGCUUCCGAUACGGGCAGACUAGAGGUAGGCAGGGGAGAACGGAAUUCCUGGUGUAGCGGUGGAAUGCGCAGAUAUCAGGAGGAACACCGGUGGCGAAGGCGGAUCUCUGGGCCGAUACUGACGCUGAGGAGCGAAAGCAUGGGGAGCGAACAGGAUUAGAUACCCUGGUAGUCCAUGCCGUAAACGUUGGGAACUAGGUGUGGGCGACAUUCCACGUCGUCCGUGCCGCAGCUAACGCAUUAAGUUCCCCGCCUGGGGAGUACGGCCGCAAGGCUA